GAUGAACGCUGGCGGCGUGCCUAAUACAUGCAAGUCGAGCGAACAGACGAGGAGCUUGCUCCUCUGACGUUAGCGGCGGACGGGUGAGUAACACGUGGAUAACCUACCAAUAAGACUGGGAUAACUUCGGGAAACCGGAGCUAAUACCGGAUAAUAUAUUGAACCGCAUGGUUCAAUAGUGAAAGACGGUUUUGCUGUCACUUAUAGAUGGAUCCGCGCCGCAUUAGCUAGUUGGUAAGGUGACGGCUUACCAAGGCGACGAUGCGUAGCCGACCUGAGAGGGUGAUCGGCCACACUGGAACUGAGACACGGUCCAGACUCCUACGGGAGGCAGCAGUAGGGAAUCUUCCGCAAUGGGCGAAAGCCUGACGGAGCAACGCCGCGUGAGUGAUGAAGGUCUUCGGAUCGUAAAACUCUGUUAUUAGGGAAGAACAAAUGUGUAAGUAACUAUGCACGUCUUGACGGUACCUAAUCAGAAAGCCACGGCUAACUACGUG
This 497-nucleotide ribosomal RNA is filed under the name uncultured bacterium. Its description in RNAcentral is "partial 16S ribosomal RNA". It matches the Rfam family "Bacterial small subunit ribosomal RNA", at positions 28 to 507 of the family's 1533-position model. The record is from RNAcentral.